UUUCCUGCGCGUCUUUUAUAAAACAAUAAGAGUUUUGAGGACCACGAAAGAGCUACGUUGGAUGAUAAAAAUAGAAACUACAAGGCAUUGUUCAGGGCGAAGAAUAUAGAAAACGGCGAAAUAAAUUAGUUUUUUCUUUUAGCUAUUAGUUUAUUUAGUUAUAAGUAAAACUGUUUAGAUAAUAUAUAAUUUUAAGUACUCAUUGUUUUAGUUUAAAUACAUUUAAUUUGAAGUACAAUAAACAUUUUAUUUACUGCAUAUA
Drosophila albomicans is the source of this 262-nucleotide long non-coding RNA. RefSeq lists it as uncharacterized. NCBI's taxonomy places the organism in Eukaryota, Metazoa, Arthropoda, Insecta, Diptera, Drosophilidae. The transcript has 2 exons. The record is from RefSeq and is a predicted model, not a curated record.